UAGGGAAUCUUCCGCAAUGGGCGAAAGCUUGACGGAGCAACGCCGCGUGAGUGAUGAAGGUCUUCGGAUCGUAAAACUCUGUUAUUAGGGAAGAACAAAUGUGUAAGUAACUAUGCACGUCUUGACGGUACCUAAUCAGAAAGCCACGGCUAACUACGUGCCAGCAGCCGCGGUAAUACGUAGGUGGCAAGCGUUAUCCGGAAUUAUUGGGCGCAAAGCGCGCGUAGGCGGUUUUUUAAGUCUGAUGUGAAAGCCCACGGCUCAACCGUGGAGGGUCAUUGGAAACUGGAAAACUUGAGUGCAGAAGAGGAAAGUGGAAUUCCAUGUGUAGCGGUGAAAUGCGCAGAGAUAUGGAGGAACACCAGUGGCGAAGGCGACUUUCUGGUCUGUAACUGACGCUGAUGUGCGAAAGCGUGGGGAUCAAACAGG
This 429-nucleotide ribosomal RNA is filed under the name Actinomycetes bacterium. Its description in RNAcentral is "Actinobacteria bacterium partial 16S ribosomal RNA". It matches the Rfam family "Bacterial small subunit ribosomal RNA", at positions 355 to 776 of the family's 1533-position model. Lineage: Bacteria; Bacillati; Actinomycetota; Actinomycetes. The record is from RNAcentral.